GAAAGUAGCUUGCUACUUUGCUGACGAGCGGCGGACGGGUGAGUAAUGCUUGGGAACAUGCCUUGAGGUGGGGGACAACAGUUGGAAACGACUGCUAAUACCGCAUAAUGUCUACGGACCAAAGGGGGCUUCGGCUCUCGCCUUUAGAUUGGCCCAAGUGGGAUUAGCUAGUUGGUGAGGUAAUGGCUCACCAAGGCGACGAUCCCUAGCUGGUUUGAGAGGAUGAUCAGCCACACUGGGACUGAGACACGGCCCAGACUCCUACGGGAGGCAGCAGUGGGGAAUAUUGCACAAUGGGCGCAAGCCUGAUGCAGCCAUGCCGCGUGUGUGAAGAAGGCCUUCGGGUUGUAAAGCACUUUCAGUCAGGAGGAAAGG
Molecule: ribosomal RNA, 375 nt
Filed under: Pseudoalteromonas distincta
Lineage: Bacteria; Pseudomonadati; Pseudomonadota; Gammaproteobacteria; Alteromonadales; Pseudoalteromonadaceae
Description: bacterial SSU rRNA
Rfam family: Bacterial small subunit ribosomal RNA
Source: RNAcentral